RNAcentral lists this long non-coding RNA (276 nucleotides) under Ananas comosus (pineapple). RNAcentral's name for it is "long non-coding RNA (ACOM_LNC041938)". The record is from RNAcentral. Lineage: Eukaryota; Viridiplantae; Streptophyta; Magnoliopsida; Poales; Bromeliaceae.
AAGAAACAGACCAACCCAAUACAUAAUGCAACAACCGACCAACCAGGUCAACAGAUAUAAGAUAAAAGCACCGAUCAACUAGGUCACCGAAACGAAGUACGAGAACCGACCAAUCAGGUCACCGAAACGAAGUACGAGAACCGACCAAUCAGGUCACCGAAACAAAGUACAAGAACCGACCAAUCAGGUCACCGGGAUCACAUAUGGAUAAACUACUCUACUCCUACACAUGAUACUAAGCAUAGAAACAUAUGAGUAGAGUAUAAUAGAAACAAC